Molecule: long non-coding RNA, 2849 nt
Organism: Triticum dicoccoides
Lineage: Eukaryota; Viridiplantae; Streptophyta; Magnoliopsida; Poales; Poaceae
Exons: 7
Source: RefSeq, a predicted model, not a curated record
CCUUGACAGCGCCGCACCUCCUCCCUCCCUCCCUCCCUCCCCCGAUAGCGCCGCACCUCCUCCCUCGUUCCUGCUCGUCCGGAUAGCCACCGGCCGCUGCAUCCAUUCUCCCCCUUCCUCCUCCUUCCUCCUUCCCACUGGCGCCGACGAGGGGGCCUCUCGCAUGGAUGGCCGGGGCUUCAAACCGGGGGUAGAGAAGCAGGGGAGGUCCAAGAAGCCCGCGGUGGGGGUCGAGCAGCCAGGGGGGCCAAGAAAGCCGGCCGGGGCAGGCGCGGAGAGUGCCGAUGUGGCGGCCGUGGGCGGGGCGGCGGCGGCCAAGGCUAGGGAGGACGAGCAGCAGCAGCAGCAGCGUCUCCAUGGAUGCGGCGGCGUGACGGCUUCCAGGCACGGAUCCCCUCCUCCGCCUCCAUCCUCCACCUCUCCGGUCGCCCGGUUGCAACGCUGCAGCUCCUUCCUACCUUCCAUGGACGAGCUCGACGGAGACGCCGUCCAGCCCGACCAUGGCCACGACUACGCCACGCACAAGGUCCCUUCCUGCUCCCCCACCUUCUUCCAUGGUUCAAGACGCUACAUAGAUUGCUGCUGCUGUUUGUCAAAUUCAUUCCAAUGAAGCCAUCUACUUCGUCCACCAACCCGCCCCGAAAGGUAGUUAUUGUGAAUUGAUGUUCGCACUGAGGCCAGAGGCGAGAGGCGAGGGCACGAAGGUCGGCGGCAAGUGCUCGGGAGAGAAGAGGAAGGCGGUGGUGGCUGCGGUUUACACGAGAGCGAGGUGACCUGCCCAGAAAGGUAGUUACAGUGAAUUGAUGUUCAUAUGAACUUCAAUGCUGUGACGUUUUUAUUAGAUCUGAGUUGCAAUCCUCAAUUUUUUUAGGUUUGAGUAGCAAUGCUCCUGCUCUACUAGCUAUGCCAUUUUCCAUGUUUUUUCUUCUAAUAUCGUAUAGCCUCCAUGCUUAUGGGUUCAACUUGACAAGCUUUUUUCAUCUUACAUCCUGUUUUAAGCUCUGUUUAUGGUUGAUUUCUGCCAUGUUUAUGGAGGGAGAGGACGCCAAGUACUAGGAGAAGGAUCAGUUUAGCAAGUACAGGCUGUAAUUAUCUCGUGAUUAUGGAUUGCUGAGAAGCGCAACCUUUUGAUCUUCGAGAACCGCAAGUUUGCUGACAUUGAAAACACAUUCAUUAUGCAAGACGAAUGGCUCUAGAAUCACUAAGGUUGCUCCUUCUCUGUUCCUUUGCUCCUUCCGCCGUGAGGUGCAGGUGCCGCUCCGCAAGGUGCUCGAGCUCCCGAGGUCUACAUGAGCGCCUGCAAGUGGGACGAGCUGCCCUACGCGCGCGUGGCGUCCACGGCCAUGCGCCAGUACAAGGAGGCGUCCUGGAUGCAAGAUUUUAAAUAGCGUCCGCUACCUCCGCUAUUGCGGCUGCAAUAGCGGUAGCGUCACCCUGCCGCUAUUAGUUUAAGGUUGCGUUAGAAAAUAGCGUGUUGUCAUGAUGCGGGCGCAAUAUCACUUGUUAGACCGCUAUAUCAUCCGCUAUCCGCAAUAUCACCCGCUAUAUACGUCCUUAUUGUUCUAUUGUGUAAUCUAUUUUAGUAAAUGUGUCUUGCUUGCAUGGUUGCACGACCAAAUAUUGUUCAAUUAUAGUUUAUAUUCCUAUAUAAAUGAUGAUUUCUCAAAUUAAGUGUCAUAUUUUUGUCAAUGGCCUAGAAAUAUACACAACAAUCUCAAAUUUAUGAGUGUUUUUUAAAAAUUGGCUAUGUGGACAUAUCGCCCGCAAUAUCGCCUGCUAUCCGUAUUUUGCUAUGUGGGCCCUAAUCCGCAACCAGUCCGCUAUCCGCUAUUUAUAAGCUUGCCUGGAUGUGCUUCUUUCUUCUGGUAAUGCACUGCUCCUUAGCUUCUUUCUUUGCAUUUCUUAUGCGUCCUGGAUGUGCUUCUUUCUUCUGGUAAUGCACUGCUCCUUAGCUUCUUUCUUUGCAUUUCUUAUGAGUUUUGCGUAUGCUGCUGCCUCUGCAAUUGAUGGUAUGUGCUUUCUUUUGCUUGGUUAAUUCUGGUGUGUGUGUUUUCUGGCGCUAGAUCAUGGGGUCGGCGACGGCGGCCGGAAGCCAGGAGGGCUGGCCGAGGAAGAGGGUGAGGACGUGGGGAUUGAAGAGGGUUCCUAUGCAUAUUGUUCAGUGCAAGGGUAAAGCAUCGUCAGCAUUGUAUUGAUGUCGUCAAGUCAUGUAGACUAAUUGCAGAACAAAUCUAUACUUUCGUUGGGACUAAAAGUGAAAACGAUAAUUGGGACUAAAACUAUGCAUUUCUAGGAAGUAAUAAAUAUGCAAAAGGAUUAUCCAUGGGAUGGAGCAGAGGCCGGCGUGGGCCGCAAGGAGCAGCAGUGGCAGAAUGGUGCUCGCUUGCCGGGCGUUGGCCCUUGGAUGAAUUCGACGCCUGAGUUGAGCUAACGAGUCCCAUGGUUUGCUAUCAAUCUCUCAAAAAGGAAAAACAACAUUACUUUGUUCUUGGGAGAAACUUCCUGUAGCGUUGCUACCUUGACAGAGAUAAAUAUGCGAUCAAGGAUAUAUUCAGUGGUUUUUCAGGAAAAAACUUGGAGGAUAUUUUUGCAGGUUCAUCGCUUGCAUUAUUGCUUUAUCAUGGUGUAUUCGUCCCUUAUCCAAGAAAGGGCCUUCUUCAUGUUUGCAGAUAGUUUGGUGCUCUCAUGGUUAUUUUGUUGAGAUUGUCCUUCUGUUCAUUAUUUGGGAACCAUCUCCUGUAGCUCAGCUACUGUCUAGCUGCUGCCCUUAUGGUGAUUGAUUAAUGGUGUAUGUUUUUCUAUUAGUUUCUCUGUAUGCCAAUGUCUGAAUUAUAUCUUGACGUUGUACA